GCUUCGUUGGUCUAGUGGGAAUGACAUCGCUAUGCCACGGCGAGGGCGCGGGUUCGAUUCCCGCACGAAGCUCCA
This 75-nucleotide transfer RNA is filed under the name Acidobacteriota bacterium. RNAcentral's name for it is "Acidobacteria bacterium tRNA-Gly". It matches the Rfam family "tRNA". From Rfam's summary of the family: Transfer RNA (tRNA) molecules are approximately 80 nucleotides in length. Their secondary structure includes four short double-helical elements and three loops (D, anti-codon, and T loops). Further hydrogen bonds mediate the characteristic L-shaped molecular structure. tRNAs have two regions of fundamental functional importance: the anti-codon, which is responsible for specific mRNA codon recognition, and the 3' end, to which the tRNAs corresponding amino acid is attached (by aminoacyl-tRNA synthetases). tRNAs cope with the degeneracy of the genetic code in two manners: having more than one tRNA (with a specific anti-codon) for a particular amino acid; and 'wobble' base-pairing, i.e. permitting non-standard base-pairing at the 3rd anti-codon position. RNAcentral also lists the same sequence under 1 other name. The record is from RNAcentral. Lineage: Bacteria; Pseudomonadati; Acidobacteriota.